UGCGCCCCCUGGCAUUCCGGGGGGCAUGCCUGUUCGAGCGUCAUUUCAACCCUCAAGCUCUGCUUGGUAUUGGGCGACGUCCGCUGCCGGACGCGCCUGGAAGACCUCGGCGACGGCGUCUCAGCCUCGAGCGUAGUAGUAAAAUAUCUCGCUUUGGA
This 158-nucleotide ribosomal RNA is filed under the name Phyllosticta citrimaxima. RNAcentral's name for it is "5.8S ribosomal RNA". Lineage: Eukaryota; Fungi; Ascomycota; Dothideomycetes; Botryosphaeriales; Phyllostictaceae. The record is from RNAcentral.